This 504-nucleotide ribosomal RNA is filed under the name uncultured bacterium. RNAcentral describes it as "partial 16S ribosomal RNA". It matches the Rfam family "Bacterial small subunit ribosomal RNA", at positions 30 to 523 of the family's 1533-position model. The record is from RNAcentral.
AUUGAACGCUGGCGGCAGGCCUAACACAUGCAAGUCGAACGGUAGCACAGAGAGCUUGCUCUCGGGUGACGAGUGGCGGACGGGUGAGUAAUGUCUGGGAAACUGCCCGAUGGAGGGGGAUAACUACUGGAAACGGUAGCUAAUACCGCAUAACGUCGCAAGACCAAAGUGGGGGACCUUCGGGCCUCACACCAUCGGAUGUGCCCAGAUGGGAUUAGCUAGUAGGUGGGGUAAUGGCUCACCUAGGCGACGAUCCCUAGCUGGUCUGAGAGGAUGACCAGCCACGCUGGAACGGGGACACGGUCCAGACUCCUACGGGAGGCAGCAGUGGGGAAUAUUGCACAAUGGGCGCAAGCCUGAUUCAGCCAUGCCGCGUGUAUGAAGAAGGCCUUCGGGUUGUAAAGUACUUUCAGCGGGGAGGAAGGCGGUGAAGUUAAUAACUUCACCGAUUGACGUUACCCGCAGAAGAAGCACCGGCUAACUCCGUGCCAGCCGCCGCCGUAA